This is a non-coding RNA of Anas platyrhynchos (mallard), 3090 nucleotides long. NCBI's taxonomy places the organism in Eukaryota, Metazoa, Chordata, Aves, Anseriformes, Anatidae. The record is from RefSeq and is a predicted model, not a curated record.
GCAUGCUAGCUAAUCUUCAUUCACACAUGCCUCCUGCACACUGGCAAGACUCGAGCUGAGGGUUACCCAUCCCUAUAUUCUAAUUCGGUUUUGUGGGAAGAAAAGCCCUCAACAUACGACAAGUGGCAUGUAAUUAACCAAAUCUAAUGUUGGUUUCAGAUUUCACAAACAAGAAGUUCACAUCACAUUGCUAAGGGGUUUCACACCUUAAGCCAUGAUGCACACACCACCCUACUGCAGAUCAAUAGAAAACAAUGUUUAGUUUCACACUUCCAAUUUGAGUGAUUCUCCUUUGAUGCUUAAAGUUGCCUGUCCAGGUUUCCAAAGAGCAGUAACACAAACCCAAAUAACUUGAAGACAAGUCCAAUAUAAAAUAGUUAAGGAUAGCUGCAGGUGCUAGUUCUCCGCUAGCUUCUCUAGCUAUUGUGUCUAUUAAUUUGCAAAAUACACUUUAUUUUUUUAUUUAUUUUUUUCUUCUGUUUUUUCUUUGAUUUCAGUGAAGACCAAAACAAAGAAGGCAAAAAUCUACACUGAAAUAGACAGAUUUUGUGUUAUUUUACAGUCACUCAGAGGCCCUCAGAUCACAAUACUUUAAAACAGUAACUACCAAGUUUCAUGUUGCCUGGGGGCAACAAAAGAGAAACUAGUACUCUCUGCUGAACUCCAGAGUCCAGUGGAGGACAUAGCCAAAGACCAACCUCAAAGCCAUUGACUGACUCCCAGCAGCAGAUGCUAGAACGUGUAUGCAGCUCCUUUGCAAGGCAAAGAUGCUGCCAUCAGAUUUGUGCCAGGCCCUCAGCGGGGGUGGAAGAGCCGUGGGACCACAUGGGGCUGCGCCAGCAAGGCCUUUGGGCUGCUUGGGAAUGGCCAUCCCUCUGGUGAAACCGUGGUGGCAGAGGCAUGAGCUGUGGUCAGAGCAAGGACAAGACGAGGAGCCAGGCACGUAUUUUGAUAUUGAGACAGAGACAGACAGACACAGAGAGAGAGAGAAUUAAAACCAAAGUCCCAUAACUAAAAUAGCAGCUUCUCCUUUUCUCGUGUCAGUUGGUGACCCAGCACUAUAAACGCUUCUCCUCCUCAGCACAGGGGUCACAAACAGGGCAUGCAGGCCACCCAUCUGGGCCAGUGCAGCAUCAGCAGGAUAGACCCAGAUUUCCUCUCCAUCUUCACACUCCGGCCUUCAGAUUAUAUCUCCCCCAGCCCCCACUUUAAUCCUGGGGUCUUUACUUUGGAGCUUAUAAUAAAUCAAUAGACAGUAAAAGAAAAUCCCUGUGGGAGCAGCAGUUGUGGCUCUAUUAUAAAAGCUUAAAUUCCCCACCUGCCACUUGACCAGUAAAAAGCUUGGAUUCCCCACUCCAGACCAGAUUAUGUAAAACUAUUCAAAUCCUGAGUGACAGUAUUUAUGAAGACAGCUGUUGGAUUCUCCAGCUGGGGGAGGCAGGGGCAAAUGCUGCGGAGUCCUGCAAGAGCUGUCCUGCUAUUCACCCUCCCACUGAUGGACUUUGUUCACUGAUGAUGAACAAUACCUUUAUUUUUUUCUUUUUUCCAGGUGGAGGAAAAUGAAUAAUUAAGUCAGAGAAAUGUACAAUUCCCAAGCCAACAGUUCUCAGAAAUAUCUUUAAAAAACAGAUAUUGAUUCAGAGACUGUUCUCAUUCUCACGUCACCCUCCCCCUUUCUCUCCCCAGCAUGUCUGAGCUGGGUUGUUCAUCACAAAAACUGGCAGGAGGUGUGAACUGGUCAUUUGUCUACACCAUUCAACUUAAUACAUUUCUGUGGAAGGAUGCUAUCGUUUUCAGUCAAUCAAAUGUUUAGCCACUCCCCUUCAUCUCACCAAAGCUCUGACAUUGACAAGUAUUGCCAUUCCUGUUGGUAUUUCAAACUACUGUUUACCAGCAGGGGGUUAAAAUCCAGCCAAACAAAGUGGUUUCCCGUGGCAGUGGUUACUGUGCACUGAGAAAGGCUCAAACAAGAAUCCCAGCCACUCACCAUUACAGUCAAUAGUGAAACUCCUGUGGACUCCCCUGCCUGCAUUGGGUUCUGAAUGCCAACAUCACAAUUACAGGAGUAAUUGGAGAAACCCAUCUUUUUACACUUCACCUUUUUCAAGCUUGCGGAGGACCUGAUUCUGAUCCACAUAUAAAUAAUCUUCCAAUAAAGAUUGUUCUUUUACCACAAGGUGGACCACACCAAUGAAGUUUUACUGAAUGUGCAAUGUUCAUUUGACCUAUAUCACUUCUGAGAUCAGCUCUAACAAUAUAGCAUAUCAGCAUUUGAUAAAACCUCCAAGACACAUAACAAAAAUACAUAUAACAAACCUAUUGCAAUAUGACCUUAAUAUAUUCAGCCUUGUCUUUAGUUCUGAUCUGGAGCUUAUUUCUUAUCUUUGUUGCAUUUAUACAGUUACAUUUUCAUGUACAGACUGUGGCCUUUAAUUUGUUUGGUUUGGCAACAGAGGUACCAUAAAAUUGUACCAAGAGGAAAGUCACAGGUUCCUUUGCACAGAGGCCACCCUGUUGCAGUCAGUCUAGACUCAAAUUCCCUUCUUCUUGCACUUCCAGGCUGGUGGGCAGCGCAGGGCAGUGCCAUAGUCCUUGUAUUCCCCCUGCACCUAGAUCAGCAUCAGAUUUGUCUCAUGUAAUGAGUCAUUGGAAAGGUAGGUGUCUAACUGAAGCUAGUCAUCUAGGCCUAAUAACAACCAUGAAGGAGAGAUGUGUACUCUGUAUAGGAGGAUUGCCCCCUCCCAAGCUUGUUUUUGGAGAAAGGUUGGAUGAAAUGCCCUCUGGGGCUGCUCUGUCCUCAUAGGCUACAGAAGGCUAGCUGAGCCCAAAUACCUGGCAUUUAUAUGGCUGAGAGUAGGUGAGGCAAAUCUAGACAUAAAGGGUCAUCACAACCCUGAAGUUCAUGCCAGGAUUUCAUCUUGCCAUAGAGCUGAAAAAAAUAGAGAAGUUGUUUUCCAUGAUGCCCUUUAUUCUGUACAACCAGUAUCCAAAAUAGAAACUGGUGUGGAGAUCUUGCGCUUUCAAUUUUUUAUUUUUUUUUUUUUUGCAAAAACUCUUCACUUCCUUCCGUUCUGAACAGACAGAAUUGCA